Molecule: ribosomal RNA, 253 nt
Filed under: uncultured bacterium
Lineage: Bacteria
Description: partial 16S ribosomal RNA
Rfam family: Bacterial small subunit ribosomal RNA
Source: RNAcentral
UACGAGAACCCCAAGCGUUAUCCGGAAUCAUUGGGCGUAAAGGGUGUGUAGGUGGCGAUGUUAGUCUUCUGUCAAAAUCUUGGGCUUAACCCAAGACUUGCAGUGGAAACGGCAUUGCUCGAGGAUGCGAGAGGUGAAUGGAACUCAUGGAGUAGGGGUAAUAUCCGUUGAUAUCAUGGGGAACACCAAAUGCGAAGGCAAUUCACUGGCGCAUUCCUGACACUGAAACACGAAAGCGUGGGUAGCGAAUGGG